UACAGAGGUCUCAAGCGUUGUUCGGAUUCAUUGGGCGUAAAGGGUGCGUAGGCGGUCGUGCAAGUCGGAUGUGAAAUCUCAGGGCUCAACCCUGAAACUGCAUUCGAUACUGCGCGGCUAGAGUGCUGGAGGGGAGACUGGAAUUUACGGUGUAGCAGUGAAAUGCGUAGAUAUCUGGAGGAACACCGGUGGCGAAGGCGGCAUCCUGGACCAACACUGACACUGAGGAGCGAAAGCCAGGGGAGCAAACGGG
This 253-nucleotide ribosomal RNA is filed under the name uncultured bacterium. Its description in RNAcentral is "partial 16S ribosomal RNA". It matches the Rfam family "Bacterial small subunit ribosomal RNA", at positions 524 to 776 of the family's 1533-position model. The record is from RNAcentral.